Molecule: ribosomal RNA, 496 nt
Filed under: uncultured bacterium
Lineage: Bacteria
Description: partial 16S ribosomal RNA
Rfam family: Bacterial small subunit ribosomal RNA
Source: RNAcentral
AUGAACGCUGGCGGCGUGCCUAAUACCUGCAAGUCGAGCGAACAGACGAGGAGCUUGCUCCUCUGACGUUAGCGGCGGACGGGUGAGUAACACGUGGAUAACCUACCUAUAAGACUGGGAUAACUUCGGGAAACCGGAGCUAAUACCGGAUAAUAUAUUGAACCGCAUGGUUCAAUAGUGAAAGACGGUUUUGCUGUCACUUAUAGAUGGAUCCGCGCCGCAUUAGCUAGUUGGUAAGGUAACGGCUUACCAAGGCAACGAUGCGUAGCCGACCUGAGAGGGUGGUCGGCCACACUGGAACUGAGACACGGUCCAGACUCCUACGGGAGGCAGCAGUAGGGAAUCUUCCGCAAUGGGCGAAAGCCUGACGGAGCAACGCCGCGUGAGUGAUGAAGGUCUUCGGAUCGUAAAACUCUGUUAUUAGGGAAGAACAAAUGUGUAAGUAACUAUGCACGUCUUGACGGUACCUAAUCAGAAAGCCACGGCUAACUACGUG